Long non-coding RNA from Ostrea edulis (European flat oyster), 2616 nucleotides. RefSeq lists it as uncharacterized. NCBI's taxonomy places the organism in Eukaryota, Metazoa, Mollusca, Bivalvia, Ostreida, Ostreidae. The record is from RefSeq and is a predicted model, not a curated record. The transcript is spliced from 3 exons.
AAAUGUGUUUAAGGUAGAGACCGAUAGCAACCACGUGAUCAGUAAAAAUCGUGUAUUUUCACGUGAAAUUAUUUUUCGGAAUUCCGUACAUCGCCAUAGAGUAGUUGAAAAACAAAAAGGGGUUCCGAAAGUACAAGUUGUUGCUGUGACUGAAUCGAUGAUUGAGAGGGUCGUCUCGACGAAAGAUAUAGAAAUUUGGCCAUAGUUUAGAUUAGGAAUACGUCAAUGUAAUAAUAGUGGACUAAAUGUUUCGUCCGUGCAGAAUGGCACUUUUUACCUCACGAAAUCCACCACCAUGCAUAGCUGCGCUACGUAAACAAAGUUGUUGAUGUAGCGUAAUCGUGAUGUCCGAGUGCUGCGAGUUUCAAUACUGUUUAUGUAGUCAUUGAGAGUUUAAACAAAGUUUCUUCUGAGAAGAGGAAUUCGAUGGAUGCAUUCAACGUGGACAACGAAAUCAUAAUUUCGUUUGCAUCAUCCUAAGGACCAGUGCAAGUUGAAAUGGGCUUCCAGCCAACAACUUCAACAGCAAUUUGCCAUGAAAAUCAGCAAGAAAGGUACUUCAUUUACAUUGAUGAUGUCAUAUCCCCUGGACCCCACAACUUUACAGUUUACAGAGAAAAUUCAAGAACUUCUGCAAAAUGUGGGACUUGGAUAGAAUCAAUAAUGUAUUUGUGAGCCCAGAGCAAUGGAUAUAUUGUGCAACAUACUAAAGUGUGAAUUUAAUGGAAAACAAGUACAUGUACUCAUGUAUUACAUGUCUUUUUUAAAGACAAUAAUAUUGUAUAAAUAUAGAGGAAGUGUCAUUGUUGAUUAUUCUAAGUUUUUGAUAUAUCAAAAUCAGUAAACAUUUCUAAAUGAAAAUAAAAUACCAAUUUUAUAACUUUAAUCAAUGUGUUUGAGAUGACCUUCAAAACGGAUGCCCAGUGUCACAGUAGAUGUGGCACGCUAAAGAACCCUCACUGCUCAAUGGCCGUAAGCGCCGAGCAAAGGCCUAAAUUUAAAGCCGUUCACCGGUCUUGGUAACGUCUCCAUAUGAGUAAAAAAUUCUCUCGAGAGACGUUAAACAAGAUACAAUCAAUCAAUCCAUGGGUCGAUUGGGUGGAAAUCUUUCCAUUGAUAUUAAAUAUAAAGUUGUUAUUUAAACAUAUUUGGUGCACUAUGCUGUAUAAUCAUAUCAAUUUCUUAUAAUAGGUAAUCGUGUCUGGUUAUUAUAAAAAAAUGUAUGAAAAAUAACUAAAUAUUAAUGCAAUCAUUGUGAGUGCAAAAAGGUCAAUCGCAAGAGCACAUACAUAAAUGCAUUGGCGGAUAUAAGGGGUGGGGUGGGGGGCAACCUGCGCGAGCCCCCCUAAAAUUUUCAAGUUUAAAGUAAAUCGUGGUCUCUUGUUUAGAGAAAUAUAUACGAUAAAAGCCAUAAUUUCCUCCACUCUCAGAGAAAUAAAUGUAUGACAAAAUCUUUUGAUUUAUUGAAUUACUUUUAGUGGGAGAACUGCUACUUUUUCCAAAAACCCUUAAAAUUUGCGUUAUUUUAUUAAUUUCACCUUAUUAAAAAUGACAGAAAAUAAUAAAAAUUACUACAUAGGAGACAUAUUUUAAGCCCUAAAAAAUCUGUAAAAUCCAGGAGUUUCUGGGGAAUCGCCCCACCCCCCCCCCCUUCAAGGCGGCCCCCAGACCCCUGCCUCAUACAGUUGCACCCCCCCCUCCCAACUUCAAUUCCUGAUCCGCCCCUGAAAUAGCUUAUAGAAACCUUCUUAUUGUCAUGUUCAAUUUUCAAAGAGGUAAUUUGGGAAUGCUUAAACAUUCUAAGUUAUAAAAAGGUCAGUAGUUUAUCUCUGCUGGCUGAAUCUUUCUUCUCAAUGCACCGAGUGCAAUUCAUGACGUCUAUGUUCCUGCUCAUUCUUUCUCCUCCAUACCAUGCAGUAUAUUAAAGGGGUUGGGAUGUAAUGGAGACAUUUGUUUUAACAAAUAUAAAUUGUAUUUCAAUUUUUUGUGGGGAUUUUUAUUUGGGAAAACUCUUGAUAUUAAUCAUCAAAUAUGAUGACGUAUGAUAAAUCUAUAUUCUGAGUGUAAGUGCACAAAGGUCAACAACGAGAACUACAACAAAAUAUAAGCUAAAAUUUGAAAUACAUACUUUCUGUAUUAUAUUUAUUAAUUUAAAAAAGGUAUUACAAAGAAUCUUCGAAUUUCAGCAAGCUGUUUUUGAUGGAUUGUUUACAACAUCUUUUAAUAACCCUUUUUCUUACAAAAAUGUGUAGUUUGUUAAAAGGGGGUGGGGUUAGGAAUUUUUUGCUACUUCCAUAUUGAACCCCAUUAUGGUGUAUAAUUUUUUUCAUAUAUUUUACUUACUAAUAGACUGACCACUUAAUGAAAUAAAAUAAGAAAUUUGAUGGGUAAUUUUUUUGCAGCGUAAGCAAAGGUAUGACCCUGUGUGCAAAUAUUGUGCACUGUUUUAAGGUAAUUGGCCAAUGUAGCUCUGUUGAAGUAAUGUUGUUGCAUGUUAAUAAUGAUUGCUGAACUUGAAAUUGAUGUGUAAUAUACAAUUAUGUGAAAGGUUGUUUGGAACCAUAUAUGACAAGUUAUUAUCCUUUUUACAAUAAAAAUGUUAUAGCUCUAUUUGUA